GCUAUUAUGAUGAGAUACAACCAUAUUCAGUUAUCCCUGUCUUAAUCGUCAUGUCGAUAUUUCGAAUAUCUGAUAAUAGC
This 80-nucleotide small nucleolar RNA is filed under the name Gloeophyllum trabeum ATCC 11539. Its description in RNAcentral is "Small nucleolar RNA R38". It matches the Rfam family "Small nucleolar RNA R38". From Rfam's summary of the family: snoR38 is a C/D box small nucleolar RNA conserved across yeast, human, Arabidopsis and rice. It is encoded in the intron of elongation factor-1 gamma in both pombe and cerevisiae. snoR38 guides the methylation of 2'-O-ribose sites in 28S rRNA. Lineage: Eukaryota; Fungi; Basidiomycota; Agaricomycetes; Gloeophyllales; Gloeophyllaceae. The record is from Rfam by way of RNAcentral.